CACAAAUAUGAAAGCAGACCCUCAUUGGGGCGUAACGUCACGCCGUGUCCGCAAUAGCGUCAUUGCUGUUGUGCUGACGCGGCGGGGGGGUAACGCCCUUUUGGGCCAGUCUGACUCCCACUUUAUUAGUUCCGUACCCCAUAGUCGGCUCCUUCCCAUUUUGCGUACUUACUUGUUUCCUUCGGGGGUCGCAGCCGCCAAUUGGACACCAAUAACCUUUUUUGUAAUUGCAAUCAGCGUCAUGCAAAAUAAUGCUAAUUAAUUA
This 265-nucleotide unclassified non-coding RNA is filed under the name soil metagenome. RNAcentral describes it as "partial internal transcribed spacer 1". The record is from RNAcentral.